UAUAAGACUAUUGGGCCGCCCAU
This 23-nucleotide non-coding RNA is filed under the name Arabidopsis thaliana (thale cress). Lineage: Eukaryota; Viridiplantae; Streptophyta; Magnoliopsida; Brassicales; Brassicaceae. The record is from RNAcentral.